This 392-nucleotide ribosomal RNA is filed under the name uncultured bacterium. RNAcentral describes it as "partial 16S ribosomal RNA". It matches the Rfam family "Bacterial small subunit ribosomal RNA", at positions 523 to 918 of the family's 1533-position model. The record is from RNAcentral.
AUACGGAGGAUCCGAGCGUUAUCCGGAUUUAUUGGGUUUAAAGGGAGCGCAGGCGGCCAUUUAAGUCAGCGGUUAAAUCGUGGGGCUCAACCCCAUUCUGCCGUUGAUACUGGGUGGCUUGAUUGCGGUCGAGGUUGGCGGAAUUCGUUGUGUAGCGGUGAAAUGCAUAGAUAUGACGAAGAACACCGAUUGCGUAGGCAGCUGACCAGACCGCAAAUGACGCUCAUGCACGAAAGUGCGGUGAUCGAACAGGAUUAGAUACCCUGGUAGUCCGCACAGUAAACGAUGAAUACUUGUUUUCGGCGAUAUAAUGUCGGAGGCAAAGCGAAAGCGAUAAGUAUUCCACCUGGGGAGUACGCCGGCAACGGUGAAACUCAAAUGAAUUGACGGGG